AGUGAACGCUGGCGGUAGGCCUAACACAUGCAAGUCGAACGGCAGCACAGGAGAGCUUGCUCUCUAGGUGGCGAGUGGCGGACGGGUGAGGAAUACAUCGGAAUCUGCCCAGUCGUGGGGGAUAACGUAGGGAAACUUACGCUAAUACCGCAUACGACCUUCGGGUGAAAGAGGGGGAUCGCAAGACCUCUCGCGAUUGGAUGAGCCGAUGUCGGAUUAGCUAGUUAGCGGGGUAAUGGCCCACCAAGGCGACGAUCCGUAGCUGGUCUGAGAGGAUGAUCAGCCACACUGCAACUGAGACACGGUCCAGACUCCUACGGGAGGCAGCAGUGGGGAAUAUUGGACAAUGGGCGCAAGCCUGAUCCAGCCAUACCGCGUGGGUGAAGAAGGCCUUCGGGUUGUAAAGCCCUUUUGUUGGGAAAGAAAUCUUUCAGGCUAAUACCCUGGGAGGAUGACGGUACCCAAAGAAUAAGCACCGGCUAACUUCGUG
This 490-nucleotide ribosomal RNA is filed under the name uncultured bacterium. Its description in RNAcentral is "partial 16S ribosomal RNA". It matches the Rfam family "Bacterial small subunit ribosomal RNA", at positions 29 to 507 of the family's 1533-position model. The record is from RNAcentral.